RNAcentral lists this transfer RNA (72 nucleotides) under Bos taurus (domestic cattle). It matches the Rfam family "tRNA". From Rfam's summary of the family: Transfer RNA (tRNA) molecules are approximately 80 nucleotides in length. Their secondary structure includes four short double-helical elements and three loops (D, anti-codon, and T loops). The record is from Rfam by way of RNAcentral. RNAcentral also lists the same sequence under 5 other names. Lineage: Eukaryota; Metazoa; Chordata; Mammalia; Artiodactyla; Bovidae.
UCCCUGGUGGCUCAGAUGGUAAAGAAUCUGCCUGCAAAGCAGGAGACCUGGGUUCAAUCCCUGGGUUAGGAA